AUGGAUUGAAGCCAAAUUACAAAGGCCCUGGUUGUUAUACUGAGGACUUCAGCCUUUAUUCUGGAUCAGUGGACUCCAGGUCUCACGGAAUGCUGAAUUUUUCGAGCACUCACCACAAGAACCAGAACAGGCCUUAGGGAUCAGCUGGUCAUUUGACAUGUAACGGAGAAGAUGAGAGAAGACCAAGGACACACCGCUUAUGGGAGUCAAGAUCAGGACUCUUUCAUGAGGCCGUAUUACGUAGAAAUCAUGCAUCGGACUUACUUGAGUAUUGGUAUUUAGCACCAACACCAAAGUUCAAGAAGAGGAAACAGUACAGCAGUUGCAGUUUCAUAGUCUGAAAAGUACCUGUGUAUUGUUUUCUUUUAAAUCCUUGUGGUAGAGUUGCCUUAUAAUUCUCUUGUUGGAAGAAAGAACAAAGACACUUUAGAAGCAAAGCUGGAUCAGGUUUUUAUUACAUAUUUUAUUAGAUGUUUGGGACAAGAUGACCAAAUUUAAAUAACAUGCUAUAGAAUAUUAAGAUUCAAUAGCAGUUUCAUAUUCCAGAAUACAAAGAGUUAAACUUCUACGUCAAGACCUUCAAAGGUCAUGGUUAAGAGGCAAACAGAAGAGUGCAGAGGUCCCAUCACGACCUGUCUGCUGAAGGCCUCCAUGCCCCUUCGGAUGGGAGCUUUGGGUCAGUUGUACAGUCACAUGGCUCACCCAUUGGUUCGUGUUUUUUUCCAGAAAUAGAAUCAAUAGAGAACAGACAAACCCACAGUUGCCAGUUUGUACAGUCUUGUGGUUUCUGUCAGGGGCUACAGGCUCGAGCAGGUCUACCAGAUAAUGAAGGCAAACUAUUUCAGUUCCUGUGGGUCCAGAGCGCCUCAGCAGAGUUCUGGUUUCAAACAAAUGAAUAACAAAUUAAAAGGUACAGUAAAAUAAGGGGGUGGUUAAAAUAUAUUAACUAAAAUCAAUGGAGGAGAAACGUAGUUAAAAAGCCUGCAUUCUCAGCAGUAGUCUGUGAUGUAUUUUGUUAAUCUCUUAAAAUUUAUGUUAAAAGCCUUUUAACAGAAAGUCAAUAUAUUUGGGUGGUUGAGCGAGUAUAUCAUCCUCUACCGGCAGUUGCAUUAAAUACGAGGCAGGCUCCACUGUUUGUAGGAAAUGAACAGGGGUCCAUCCAACGGAAGUCCCACCUCAAGGAGACCAGACAUUUUUCCCAAAACAGCCUGUGGAGCCAAGCUCACUAUUAGCCCCCCCCCCUUUGCUUAGGUUCCCCACUGACGUCAACGAGAGUCCUGGAAAUGAAGCGGGAUCAGAAUACCAGAAGCAUAGCCUAAUAAUAGAGCCAAAAUGGAGAGCAGAUGGAAAAUAAAACUUCUCAAUAAAGUGUGACCUAAUGUUAUAAAUUUGUUCAAGGAAAGAAAACAACAACAGUGAAGCAAAAAGGCCUGUAAGCAGACUUACAGGGGUGAAAGUUCUGGAACAUAGCUGACUAGAAAAACACCUAGAUACUUAGAAACCUUCCAGAAAAAGA
This 1516-nucleotide long non-coding RNA is filed under the name Equus caballus (horse). RNAcentral's name for it is "lncRNA (ENSECAG00000039255.3)". The record is from RNAcentral. Lineage: Eukaryota; Metazoa; Chordata; Mammalia; Perissodactyla; Equidae.